GUGGGGAAUCUUAGACAAUGGGGGCAACCCUGAUCUAGCCAUGCCGCGUGAGUGAUGAAGGCCUUAGGGUUGUAAAGCUCUUUCAGUGGGGAAGAUAAUGACGGUACCCACAGAAGAAGCCCCGGCUAACUCCGUGCCAGCAGCCGCGGUAAUACGGAGGGGGCUAGCGUUGUUCGGAAUUACUGGGCGUAAAGCGCACGUAGGCGGAUCGGAAAGUUGGGGGUGAAAUCCCAGGGCUCAACCCUGGAACUGCCUUCAAAACUAUCGGUCUGGAGUCCGAGAGAGGUGAGUGGAAUUCCGAGUGUAGAGGUGAAAUUCGUAGAUAUUCGGAGGAACACCAGUGGCGAAGGCGGCUCACUGACUCGGUACUGACGCUGAGGUGCGAAAGCGUGGGGAGCAAACAGGAUUAGAAACCCGGGUAGUCC
Molecule: ribosomal RNA, 425 nt
Filed under: uncultured bacterium
Lineage: Bacteria
Description: partial 16S ribosomal RNA
Rfam family: Bacterial small subunit ribosomal RNA
Source: RNAcentral